GCGGCGGCGGCCAUGGCGGGCGGGCGGCGGGCGCUGGCGGAGCCGGGGCGGCUGAUGGGCGCGGGGCUGGCGCUCAUCGUGCUGGGCCACGGCAGCCUGGUGCUGGGCGCCAUCGUGCACGGCUCGGUCCUGCGGCACGUCGCCGGCGCCCGCCUCGCCGUCACCCCCGAGUACGCGGUGGCCAACGUGGUGUCCGUGGGCUCCGGGCUGCUGAGCAUCGCCGUGGGUAUCGUCGCCAUCCUGGUGUCGCACAACCUGUCCCAGGCGGCCCUGCAUUGGACCCUGCUGAGCAUGUCCCUGUUGAACUGCCUCCUGUCCACAGUGUGCAGCGCAGGCCUGGUGCUGGCCAUUGCCCUCACCAUUCACAGCCGGGGCAUGCACCUCAUCAGGGGCUGCAACAGCUCUGCGCUGCCUGCUGAUGCGCGUGCAGCCAUAGUGACCAACGACUGUCCUUUCAACACCACGCGCAUCUAUGACACGGCCCUGGCGCUCUGGUUCCCCUCCAUGGUGCUGGCGGCCACAGAAGCUGUGCUGUCCGGCAGGUGCGGUUUGGUGGCCCUGAUCUUGCGGGGCAUUGGGCCCUGUGCACGCAGCUACGCCAAAGAGCAGGUAUGGCCAAUCAAGCUGGACAGGUCUCCCUGUCCCACUGUUGCUGCCUUUUUGAAGGUGCUGAGACCUCCUGGGCCCUUGUUCCCAUACAAGCAGGCUGUGCAGCAGUGGGAGGCAGGGCAUGUCAGGUCUGAACCUCUUCUAUCCAGCCUUGGUGACAGACUGGAAGACCUUCAUCUUGGCUGGCCCAGCCAAGUACAGUGAAGGAGGGGCCACCACAUGAGAUGCAGCAGCAACUGCUGGCCAGGCUGGCUGACUCCUGUGCCUAGCUGGAGAGGUGGUGCUGCAAUCCAACAAGGUGAAGUGGCACCUGCUCCAUGCUCCUGCCCGAGGUUUAGGUGUGGGUAGGGUGGGAUGCAGGGGGUAGGGGUGCACCCCCCGCAGCCCCCCACCCUGCAACAACCCUGCAGGUUCCAGGCACAAGUUACCCAGGGUCACCAGGCAAGUGCCAUAAGCCCCUGACACUCUCCUGGGGCUGGGGAGGCACACAAGCCCUUCCCAGCACACUAAAGGCUCCACUGGGUGUUCCACAUGCGGUGCUGGGGGGGGGAGGGCAGAGGUGCUGGGGCCUGGCAACAGGCAGGGCUGGCCUGGGGGCUGGCUGGUGGCCCUGCAGCAGAGCAGGCAGGUUCAGUUUGCUGUGCCUGUGCUCAGGCAGGGCAAGGAAUGAAAGGUGAAGAAUCCUUUUGUCAUGAGCCUCUGUUGUUUCUGAGUAAAUAAACUUUUCCUUUUCA
Molecule: RNA transcript, 1343 nt
Organism: Falco peregrinus (peregrine falcon)
Lineage: Eukaryota; Metazoa; Chordata; Aves; Falconiformes; Falconidae
Gene: KRTCAP3
Gene name: keratinocyte associated protein 3
Exons: 6
Source: RefSeq, a predicted model, not a curated record